This 631-nucleotide ribosomal RNA is filed under the name uncultured bacterium. Its description in RNAcentral is "bacterial SSU rRNA". It matches the Rfam family "Bacterial small subunit ribosomal RNA", at positions 271 to 916 of the family's 1533-position model. The record is from RNAcentral.
AGGCAUCGAUCAGUAGCUGGUCUGAGAGGAUGAUCAGCCACACUGGGACUGAGACACGGCCCAGACCCCUACGGGAGGCAGCAGUGGGGAAUUUUCCGCAAUGGGCGAAAGCCUGACGGAGCAACGCCGCGUGAGGGAUGAAGGCCUCUGGGCUGUAAACCUCUUUUCUCAAGGAAGAAGACAUGACGGUACUUGAGGAAUAAGCCACGGCUAAUUCCGUGCCAGCAGCCGCGGUAAUACGGGAGUGGCAAGCGUUAUCCGGAAUUAUUGGGCGUAAAGCGUCCGCAGGCGGCCUUGUAAGUCUGUUGUUAAAGCGUGGAGCUCAACUCCAUUUCAGCAAUGGAAACUACAAGGCUUGAGUGUGGUAGGGGCAGAGGGAAUUCCCGGUGUAGCGGUGAAAUGCGUAGAUAUCGGGAAGAACACCAGUGGCGAAGGCGCUCUGCUGGGCCAUCACUGACGCUCAUGGACGAAAGCCAGGGGAGCGAAAGGGAUUAGAUACCCCUGUAGUCCUGGCCGUAAACGAUGAACACUAGGUGUCGGGGGAAUCGACCCCCUCGGUGUCGUAGCCCACGCGUUAAGUGUUCCGCCUGGGGAGUACGCACGCAAGUGUGAAACUCAAAGGAAUUGACGG